AUUUGAUAUUUGAUAUCUUUUAAAAAAGGAAACAACAUUGAAUUUCCAAAUAAGAUUAUCUUUUUAAAAUAAAACAAUAAAAAUACAUAAAAAUAGUUACAAAAAAUAAAUAAAUAAAUAUUUGUAAGUCUUCAGCAAAAUAUUAAACCCUAUACCCUAAAUCUUAAACCCUAAACCCUAAACCUUAAACUUUGGAUAAACUCUAAACGUUUGAAAAUCUUAAACCCUAAAUCAUACAUUAAAAACUAAAUUUUAAUAACACUAAACCCUAAAUCCUAAUCACUAAACCCUAAACCCUUGGAUAAACCCUGAACCCUUGGAUAAAUCAUA
Molecule: long non-coding RNA, 330 nt
Filed under: Brassica rapa (field mustard)
Lineage: Eukaryota; Viridiplantae; Streptophyta; Magnoliopsida; Brassicales; Brassicaceae
Description: long non-coding RNA (BRAP_LNC002979)
Source: RNAcentral